AUACUCGGGGAUAGCCUUUCGAAAGAAAGAUUAAUACCCGAUGGUGUAAUAAAACCGCAUGGUUUAAUUAUUAAAGAAUUUCGGUUAUCGAUGGGGAUGCGUUCCAUUAGGCAGUUGGUGAGGUAACGGCUCACCAAACCUUCGAUGGAUAGGGGUUCUGAGAGGAAGGUCCCCCACAUUGGAACUGAGACACGGUCCAA
Molecule: ribosomal RNA, 200 nt
Filed under: uncultured bacterium
Lineage: Bacteria
Description: partial 16S ribosomal RNA
Rfam family: Bacterial small subunit ribosomal RNA
Source: RNAcentral